This 559-nucleotide ribosomal RNA is filed under the name uncultured bacterium. Its description in RNAcentral is "bacterial SSU rRNA". It matches the Rfam family "Bacterial small subunit ribosomal RNA", at positions 119 to 674 of the family's 1533-position model. The record is from RNAcentral.
CGGAACGUGCCCAGUAGCGGGGGAUAACUACGCGAAAGCGUAGCUAAUACCGCAUACGCCCUACGGGGGAAAGCAGGGGAUCGUAAGACCUUGCACUAUUGGAGCGGCCGAUAUCGGAUUAGCUAGUUGGUGGGGUAAUGGCUCACCAAGGCGACGAUCCGUAGCUGGUUUGAGAGGACGACCAGCCACACUGGGACUGAGACACGGCCCAGACUCCUACGGGAGGCAGCAGUGGGGAAUUUUGGACAAUGGGGGAAACCCUGAUCCAGCCAUCCCGCGUGUGCGAUGAAGGCCUUCGGGUUGUAAAGCACUUUUGGCAGGAAAGAAAUGGCGUGUGUUAAUACCAUGCGCAGAUGACGGUACCUGCAGAAUAAGCACCGGCUAACUACGUGCCAGCAGCCGCGGUAAUACGUAGGGUGCAAGCGUUAAUCGGAAUUACUGGGCGUAAAGCGUGCGCAGGCGGUUCGGAAAGAAAGAUGUGAAAUCCCAGGGCUCAACCUUGGAACUGCAUUUUUAACUACCGGACUAGAGUAUGUCAGAGGGAGGUGGAAUUCCACGU